GCACAUGGUAUUUGAUACAUUUGCAAGACAAUUUCUGUAAUGAGUUUUGUGUACAUGCUGUGUGAAAGCCAAUUCUUAAAUAAAAUUAACGUACGGUUAUAUGCCUGCGAGCUAUUUAUUAAUUACAAACAAAAAACAAAAAAACCCCACAGCGAUUAACUCUGUUCUACUCGGGCUUUUAUGCAAAGUGUUAUUACUCCUCUUGCCCCAUGUUUUGUUGUUGUCAAUUGUAUUCCAUCAUCUGUCAAAGUUGCCAUUUAACGCUGCGCGUGCUGCUCGUGUGCGAGCAGCGCACGCUGCCGCCUCAUUUAUUCCGAGGCUGAUCAUUAUAAUUAAGGCUCUUUGCCGCACACGUGCGUUCCCUGACGAUCCCCACCCCCACCACUACCACCGCCCUCAUGGAACGAGGAGCUCUCCUCCCUCCCGGCAGUCCACCCUAGGCCCUGGAUGGUUCCCCCGACGGAGCGCAUACGAUGGAGCAAUACAUUUGUUGAGUGGUGAAUGACGACUCGGAGGCAGGUUUGCAGGUCACACAUGGGUCUUGCUGUCCAUCUGUCAUGAGGGACCGACACUUCAAAAGUGUAGACGAAUGGUUUAAAAUUCAUAGAUGGAACAACAUCUUGGUAAAUCUUGAUACAAUGGCAAAUAUAAAAAAAACCCACAACAUAAUAUGUUUAGAUUAAUGUGAAAAGGAAACGUGUAGAAUGUAGCAUUAUACAUAUACAGUACAAUUAUACAGUUUUCAAUCUACAGCUGGGUGAAGGCCUCUCCAUGUCACGUCAUUCAUGAGGUCUGUUUUUUUUUUUAACCAUACUUCACGAUGCUGGCUAGUGCGAGCAGGUGUAUUGUUGGCCCAUGACCAAUUCAGCUAUCGCUCGCUGCGGAAGUUAGCACGGCGGGGAAUUGAACUCGAGUCACCGGGCUCAGCGCACAGCGAGCAAACUGCUGCUGCGACGCUCUCCCGCCUCAAGGCAAGAGGUGUCGGUGUUUGAAGCUGGGUGCUUGAAGAAAGUGAGGAACUCAUUUGACGAUACCAGAUUUACUGUUGGUCUGGCGAAAUGUUUUGGCAUCGGAAGCAUGUGUGGAGAAACAGGUCUUGAUCCCAUAAUCACCAUUUUUUUUGCAAAACUAAUUUCGGAAAAGCCUUGCAGGAAAGGCUUGUGCAGGGAAGGUUGAGUAAGUGUGGUCUUGUGACCUCAUCAGGAAGACAGAGCUGGCCAAGUCACUUAUUCUUAUCAAGCAGCCAAGGCAGAUAUUUCACCAAGAUACUACGUAUGCACAUUACUUUUUAAAAAGGGCCUUGCAUUCAUGAAUAUAAAAUUACUCGCUGCAUGUCUAACUGGAAUCUUUAAAUGACUGACACUGUACUGCUCUUCUUAUAGGUCAACUCAUGGCAGGGCCUUCGGUUAGCCUCUGUUUUGUAAAAAAAUAAAUCCCCCGAACUCUAAUUACAUAAUUUCAAAUGUAAAGUGUCACAACGGUCAUUCGGUCACUGUUCUUUAUUUAACCAGGAGAUGAAAUUUAACCCAUUGAGACACAUGAAAUGCUGCCUAGGGUGACCGAGGUUACAUCAAGACAUGUUACAUAUACAGAAUACUGUAUUUUCAAAACAUUUUUAAAUUAACACAUCUCGAUUAAAUUUGUACAUUAUUUUUGACAUUAUUUUUUGACAGUUUAUUGUGUACAAUUAAUAAGGGCCAUUGCCCAAAACGGCACCGAUUACAUAUUUCGCGUUUAAGGCAGUGUUAUGGACAAAUAUGUUUGUUGUCCUUCCCCACACAUGUGAUUAGCACGGUUGGCUAACAUACAGUGUAAAAGAAGUUUAACAUAUAUACAAAUAUGUUCCUUUUUUUAAACAAAAUUUGACAACAAUUUUAAAUUAUACGUCUAAGUAAAGAAGGUGAACUGCACUUAUUUUUGUUACAUAAAAUAUAAAACACAUUGAGAAAAUAAAUUGACAAGAAUGGUCAUGUAGAGGCAUUGGAGAAAAUUGCACGAGAUACGAUUGAAUGCAAACAUUCUGGCUUAAAACUGCCAGAACACAUUAAAACAACCGCGGUCUGAUCAAUGGUGAUAUGAAUUAUAUGCCUGUUAUCAAAAAUAUGUUUCAGUUUCAUAUUUCUGGCGUUAUGUUCCGAAUUUUGUCCUGUAAUUUCUAAAAAUAAUAUUUUUUUAUCAUUUACAGCCAGUUGUCAAUCCACUGCUAGGUGAAGGCCUUCCAACUCUGUCGGUCAUGGCAGAUGUUUGAUAAGCAUAGUGAAUUACGGUAAAACAACCGCCAUGACUGGUAGAGUAGGAAGGCCAUGGCAGUUAUUCGACCAUACUUCCCCAUGCUCGGCAGUGUAGUUUGGUGAAGAUGGGGACAGGCGGACAAGACUGGUACAGGAAUCACUACCCACUCAUGUUAACACUCGAUUCACCAGGUUCAUAUCAUAGCAGGCUAAUCAAGGUGCCAACACUUUGUUAUUUAUAUCUAUUAAUGCUUGAAUUGUCAAUAUUGAUUUCCAAUAGGGCAUUAUUUGUUACAAACAAACAAUUUGUUGUUGUUAUUCUGAAAGCACGACCGUGUGAAAUACUGCAGUGUAAAUUGUGAAAUUAUUUUUGCGUGAAAUAUAAUGUUGUAGUUCAGUGGUGAACAUUUUGCACUCUGAAUCUGGUGACCAGACUUCCAUCCAGUCAUAAUUAACAUAUUGAGCCGUAUCUGAAUCAGUCCUUAGCCUACCCCUCACCAAGCCUGUAUAGGCUUUGUGCAAGCAAUCGCCUUGCCCAACAUGGCAUCUAGAGACCCUCAUAAGGCAAUAGCUUGACACAGGAUUGGAAAUUGUUAUUAUUAUUACAACCAUGUGUUUUUUUUGCAUUAAUUAUUGCAUCUUGCGAGUCUAAACAGCAAAACAAUAUUAAUUCGAUUUGUUUUGAGCUUUCGCAGAGAUUAUGUAGAUCACAUUGCAGUGCAUGUAUCCGAUUAGGAUAUCUUGGGAGCACAGCAAUAUAUUGUGAAUUUAGCUUAUACCACUGGACCCUCCAUAGAAUUUCACAUUUUAGAUGCUUCUCUAUUAUUUAUUCAACUGAUGCUUGACAAUAUAUGAAAUUAAGUGUUUCCCUUGAAGUAAAGAGGCUUUGUUACUUAAUAGGAAUACUGGAAUGUGGUGCAUUUUUCAAUGUGAGCAUGUACAUUCGAAGCUGUGUAAACACAAAUAUGUUUUAAACAUGUAAUCUAUUUAGUAUAGCAUUGUAUUGUAUUGCCUAAUUGACAAUAUAUAUAACAAAAAAAAUGAGCGCUCAGAAUUGCAAUAGUAAUCUAAAUUCGUACAAAGUUUUGAAAUGUACUGAUACAUUAUAUGGAAUGAGUGACCUUGAGUGAGAUUUAUCUCUUGGAAUUGCGGUAUUUGUUGAGCCUAUUUCCAUGGCCAGAAGAAAAGGAAAACAUACUGGCUUGUUUUUAACAUUAUCUACGUUCCCCGACCCGGCAUUUCUAUUGCAUCGAUAAAUUCCGCUGAAGACGUGGUAUUUGAGGAAUGUGACUCCCCUCAGAAUGAGUUGUUGUGGACGAUCACAAUUACUGCCACAACCUCCAUCUGCCUCAAGAGAUAUCACCAAGCCAGUUAGCAACAGGCACCUCCUAUUCAAGCAUUAAAAUUAGUCACACGGUAAAAAAUAUUAUUGACCACAAUAUUCAGCAACUGAAUUAAGUGCUGGGAGUGAAACAUCGGACAUCGCGCCGAACAACACAAUCAGAAAACACAUCGGAGAGCUAAUCAAUAAGGUAUUUAAAUGAAACCAUGACUAUAUAUCGUGGGAGUUCAUAAAAUUGCACGGGUGGGAUGGCGGGUCAGUUAUGUUCCUAUUAGGCUAACAAGUAGCUCAAUAUAAAAUAAUUACGUAAAUAAAUUACGUGUCGUAGGGAAAUAAAAUGAGGAAAAUGCGCUGGGAGGAAUUUUAUGUUGUCGCUGUUUCUCUUGUAUUUUCUGUGCUGUAAUAGUUUUCAUGCAUCAUGGCGAAGCUACAACCUGCUUUAAAAUUACUUACAAAAAAUAUAUGUAAUGAAAUUCAAAACUUGCUUUUACAACCACUGGAUAAAAAUAGUUCAGUGUUAGCUGAAAUAAUGAAUUUAGCAUUUUGUUUGGUCAUCAUAAUGUUUAUUCCAUUUUCACGAAAUUCUAAGAGAUCGGAAUGGAUUGAGCAUUGAAGCCUAAUUCAUUGUAUGGGGAUUCGCUAAAAUCAAUAAGUUCCUUUAUUUAGAAUAAGGUGAAAUCCAAUUGCGAUACCAUAUUUUUGGAAAGGGAAUUGGGGCACACAUUCCUCAAUGCGAUUACUCUUUCAGCCUUGCGUUUUAUUUCCCAAAUUGGAACCACUACCACCCAACAUUGCCAUAGAUUUAUUGAGUGCUACUCUUUUAGUUUUCUCUAUUUUCCACCCCAUCUCACAAUGCUUUGUGUAUUCAGGGCAGUAAACAAUGACUAUUUAAAAAAAAAUAUCAUACUAUUGUAAAGAAAAAGCGAUGCAUAGUACAUGGUGCCUGCCAGUAUUCAAUAUGUGAAAAAGCAGAGAGAAAUGUUCGCUGGGUGUACGCACUUUCAAUCGACACAGUGCCAAUGUCACAAGUGCUGACGUACCAAAAAGCAAGAAUGGAACUUGUUAAUUGGAAUGUGUUGCACGUAAACUUGAGAGAACAUUGUAAAUCCCACACCAUUGUAACCAGAUCUGGCCACAUGAAUUACGAGGCACCCGGGAAUUUAAUUUGUGAGAUCGGUUGUAAUUAUUCUCACGAUUGCCUUAUUGUCCCUUUGGAAACUUUUCCCGGCACUGUUCUUAAUUUUCACGUAACUUUAAGGACAUCUCAAGUUUCGUAUGGGAGGUAAGGGGGAAUAUCAUAGCAGGUAAAUAUUUUCAUAUAAUUUCAAUUGAUUAACACUUAAAAAGGCAAGCAAUGGUUUCACACUUGAUGAUGAUUGCUUGUGUUGCAGUCGAAA
Molecule: non-coding RNA, 4970 nt
Organism: Petromyzon marinus (sea lamprey)
Lineage: Eukaryota; Metazoa; Chordata; Hyperoartia; Petromyzontiformes; Petromyzontidae
Source: RefSeq, a predicted model, not a curated record